UACGUAGGGGGCAAGCGUUGUUCGGAAUUACUGGGCGUAAAGGGCGCGUAGGCGGCAUGGCAAGUCGGGAGUGAAAGCCCGGGGCUCAACCCCGGAACGGCUUUCGAAACUGCCAAGCUAGAGUACGGAAGGGGCAACUGGAAUUCCCAGUGUAGCGGUGAAAUGCGUAGAUAUUGGGAAGAACACCGGAGGCGAAGGCGGGUUGCUGGGCCGAUACUGACACUGAGGCGCGAAAGCCAGGGGAGCAAACGGG
RNAcentral lists this ribosomal RNA (253 nucleotides) under uncultured bacterium. RNAcentral's name for it is "partial 16S ribosomal RNA". It matches the Rfam family "Bacterial small subunit ribosomal RNA", at positions 524 to 776 of the family's 1533-position model. The record is from RNAcentral.